This 576-nucleotide ribosomal RNA is filed under the name uncultured bacterium. RNAcentral's name for it is "bacterial SSU rRNA". It matches the Rfam family "Bacterial small subunit ribosomal RNA", at positions 337 to 931 of the family's 1533-position model. The record is from RNAcentral.
UCCUACGGGAGGCAGCAGUAGGGAAUAUUGGACAAUGGGGGAAACCCUGAUCCAGCCAUGCCGCGUGAGUGAAGAAGGCCUUAGGGUUGUAAAGCUCUUUCACUGGCGAGGAUGAUGACGGUAGCCAGAGAAGAAGCCCCGGCAAACUUCGUGCCAGCAGCCGCGGUAAUACGAAGGGGGCGAGCGUUGUUCGGAAUUACUGGGCGUAAAGGGCGCGUAGGCGGCGCGUUGCGUCAGAGGUGAAAGCCCCGGGCUCAACCUGGGAACGGCCUUUGAUACGGGCGUGCUAGAAUCCAAGAGAGGGUGGUGGAAUUCCCAGUGUAGAGGUGAAAUUCGUAGAUAUUGGGAAGAACACCGGUGGCGAAGGCGGCCACCUGGCUUGGUAUUGACGCUGAGGCGCGAAAGCGUGGGGAGCGAACAGGAUUAGAUACCCUGGUAGUCCACGCCGUAAACGAUGUGCGCUAGCCGUCGGCAGCAUGCUGUUCGGUGGCGCAAGCUAACGCGUUAAGCGCACCGCCUGGGGAGUACGGCCGCAAGGUUAAAACUCAAAGGAAUUGACGGAAUCGAAUUCCCGCG